Molecule: long non-coding RNA, 265 nt
Organism: Clupea harengus (Atlantic herring)
Lineage: Eukaryota; Metazoa; Chordata; Actinopteri; Clupeiformes; Clupeidae
Exons: 4
Source: RefSeq, a predicted model, not a curated record
AAAAUAACCGAAAGUCUCUCAAUUGAAAAUGUUUUUGAACAUCAAGAUGCAGUGGAGUGGUUUGAGAAAAUCCUGAGUGUAGUGUCACCUGAUGCAUCACAGGUCUAUGAAGGAACCUUACUAAAAACACUGAGGUGUCUGAAGAAAGAUCAUGAUGAAUCUCACGAAGACAGCACAUUUUUAUCACUUCCAAUCACCAUUGAUGCUGGACAUGAUGAAGUAUUCCGUGUGGUUGACGGUCUUGAAGCCUUUUUUCAAACCACAA